Molecule: ribosomal RNA, 256 nt
Filed under: uncultured bacterium
Lineage: Bacteria
Description: partial 16S ribosomal RNA
Rfam family: Bacterial small subunit ribosomal RNA
Source: RNAcentral
UAAUACGUAGGUGGCAAGCGUUGUCCGGAUUUACUGGGUGUAAAGGGCGCGUAGGCGGACUGGCAAGUCAGAUGUGAAAUCCAUGAGCUCAACUCAUGAACUGCAUUUGAAACUGUUGGUCUUGAGUAUCGGAGAGGCAAGCGGAAUUCCUAGUGUAGCGGUGAAAUGCGUAGAUAUUAGGAGGAACACCAGUGGCGAAGGCGGCUUGCUGGACGACAACUGACGCUGAGGCGCGAAAGCGUGGGGAGCAAACAGG